This is a long non-coding RNA of Rhipicephalus microplus (southern cattle tick), 265 nucleotides long. Lineage: Eukaryota; Metazoa; Arthropoda; Arachnida; Ixodida; Ixodidae. The record is from RefSeq and is a predicted model, not a curated record.
CAAGCGAGGACGUGUGGCGUCGCAUUUUGGAACACUCGCCAGUCUAUACAUGCUCGUCGUAGGAAGAGAGUGUGGGAGACGUCUGGACUAGCCCAUCAUCCAAAGCUGGCUCGUGAAAAAUUUGACUGCUGGUGCACAUCAGUGGCGCAUGGCUUCUGUUUCUUCUGAAAAGCGAGCUGCAGAGAGCCACCUGGUAGCUGUAUUCAAGGAGCACAAAGGUUCAGGGUGUUCAAAGUUAACCCUUUUGUUUUUCCUUAAAAGAGAA